AGGCCGCAGGGUUGCCAGUUUGGGCUGGCGGUGUUCGUGCAGGUUGCACCACGUGAUGUAGUCCAUGAAAGGUUACGCUUUAAUUCCGGGAGAGUUGGCAACGCCGCGGGAGGGGUGGGGAGCGUGGCCCUGUGGGGAUCUGCCGUGUGCCCCUGGGCAGUGGCGGGCGUGGUGCCCCUUUGCUGGGACAGUUUGUUAGUGACCCUGUGCCUAGGCGGGUCAGUACAUUCACAACCAUCUUAUCUGCGGAAAGAGUUCAGGACGCCAGGAGCUUGAUGAAAUGCCUCAGCCACACACGCGUUGUAUCAGUGUCACCACAGUAUCAAUUGGCCUGCUGCUGGAAUCGGCCUCGAUCUCCUGGUCGGUGGCUAUUGAAAGCAAUCCGGGAGAUUUUAACAGGCUGCAAACAGUCCAGGGCGGGCUAAGGCAAGCCCACUACCUGCCCUGGUUCUGCGCAGCUCCAGGACAUGAUAGGGGCGGCCAGGGGGACUCUGCGUGCUGCCCCUGCCCUGAGUGCUGACUCCACAGCCAGCAGCAGUUCUCGGCCAAUGGGAGCUGCGGUGGGUAGUGCCUGCAGGCAGGGGCAGUGCGCAGAGCUGCCUGGUUGCCCGUGAGCUUAGCUUAGGAGCUGGACAUGCUGGCCCCUUCCAGGAGCCUCCCAAGGUCAUUUCUAAUCCCGUGAACCAUUGACCAGCCAUGCUUUGAGGCAAAGAACUCCAAUCUUGGGGUGAAGGAUCUUCCCACAUUCCUGAGAGAGAAGAUGAGGAGCUACCUGGAGAGUGAUUGUAGGACUUUGGAUAUUAGAGGAGUUGAAGGGAACGCAUACAGUAGACCUGAUGACCACUGAAGGUGAAAGGCAUCCCCCAAGGGAUCAGUGGUUCAGCCUGCCUCCAGAGCAGAACUGCCAGAAUAGUGAUGAAGUAUGAUGAGGUCUAUCUCCCACUCAUGGUCUCGAAAGAAGUGCCUGCUGAGUGCGUCUGCCAUCACAUUCUGAACUCCUGGGAGGUUGUAGAUCAUGAGUCAGCAACCUUUCAGAAGUGGUGUGACGAGUCUUCAUUUAUUCACUCUGAUUUAAGGUUUCACGUGCCGGUAAUACAUUUUAACAUUUUUAGAAGGUCUCUCUCUCUGUCUAUAUAAUAUAUAACUAAACUACUGUUGUAUGUAAAGUAAAUAAGGUUU
This is a long non-coding RNA of Gopherus flavomarginatus (Mexican gopher tortoise), 1179 nucleotides long. RefSeq lists it as uncharacterized. Lineage: Eukaryota; Metazoa; Chordata; Testudines; Testudinidae. The record is from RefSeq and is a predicted model, not a curated record. The transcript has 4 exons.